This 120-nucleotide ribosomal RNA is filed under the name Homo sapiens (human). The record is from RNAcentral. Lineage: Eukaryota; Metazoa; Chordata; Mammalia; Primates; Hominidae.
GUCUACGGCCAUACCACCCUGAACGCGCCCGAUCUCGUCUGAUCUCGGAAGCUAAGCAGGGUUGGGCCUGGUUAGUACUUGGAUGGGAGAAAUACAUCCAAAAACACGAUGACUCACAUG